AUUGAACGCUGGCGGCAGGCCUAACACAUGCAAGUCGAGCGGAUGAAGGGAGCUUGCUCCUGGAUUCAGCGGCGGACGGGUGAGUAAUGCCUAGGAAUCUGCCUGGUAGUGGGGGAUAACGUCCGGAAACGGGCGCUAAUACCGCAUACGUCCUGAGGGGGAAAGUGGGGGAUCUUCGGACCUCACGCUAUCAGAUGAGCCUAGGUCGGAUUAGCUAGUUGGUGGGGUAAAGGCCUACCAAGGCGACGAUCCGUAGCUGGUCUGAGAGGAUGAUCAGUCACACUGGAACUGAGACACGGUCCAGACUCCUACGGGAGGCAGCAGUGGGGAAUAUUGGACAAUGGGCGAAAGCCUGAUCCAGCCAUGCCGCGUGUGUGAAGAAGGUCUUCGGAUUGUAAAGCACUUUAAGUUGGGAGGAAGGGCAGUAAGUUAAUACCUUGCUGUUUUGACGUUACCAACAGAAUAAGCACCGGCUAACUUCGUG
This 484-nucleotide ribosomal RNA is filed under the name uncultured bacterium. RNAcentral describes it as "partial 16S ribosomal RNA". It matches the Rfam family "Bacterial small subunit ribosomal RNA", at positions 30 to 507 of the family's 1533-position model. The record is from RNAcentral.